RNAcentral lists this ribosomal RNA (119 nucleotides) under Triticum aestivum (bread wheat). Lineage: Eukaryota; Viridiplantae; Streptophyta; Magnoliopsida; Poales; Poaceae. The record is from RNAcentral.
UGAUGCGAUCAUACCAGCACUAAAGCACCGGAUCCCAUCAGAACUCCGAAGUUAAGCGUGCUUGGGCGAGAGUAGUACUAGGAUGGGUGACCUCCUGGGAAGUCCUUGUGUUGCAUUCC